Onychostoma macrolepis is the source of this 1292-nucleotide long non-coding RNA. RefSeq lists it as uncharacterized. NCBI's taxonomy places the organism in Eukaryota, Metazoa, Chordata, Actinopteri, Cypriniformes, Cyprinidae. The record is from RefSeq and is a predicted model, not a curated record. The transcript is spliced from 4 exons.
UGCUGCAACUUUUGAAAAGACGCCAUGUUGUUGUGGCGCUGACUUUCCUCGGAUUUUUUAAAAUAAGUUUGCAACACUCGCUCGUAUUUUAUAAAAAUAACGUAGGAAGGGAUAUUUUUCGAUCGGGAAUUUGCUUUUGUGUUGCCUGUGAGGACCUUUGUGGAGAAACGCGGCAUGCGGUUUUCUGAACCUGCCGGUGAUGAGCUUCUCUUCAUCGUGCUGCCCUCGCAACUGGUGAGUUAACGAUAAAAGUGAAGCAGCUGGAAGGUUAGUUUGAUAUAUUGAUGUCCAAUUAUUAAUUUUAAAAGGCAUUCAUUGUAUAGAGAUACUGGAACCUACAGAUUGGUGAGAUCCUGGAUUGCUGGCCUGCUUUAAAAUGGAGUCGCAGGAAAUAUUAACAUCCAUGCUGCUGUCAAUGAUGUCCAUGAUGAGUGCUCCGUGCUCCCUCCACCUAUCUGCUUGAGGAUGUCUCCAAUGUUCUCAAGAUGGGGGAUAACAAUCUGAUGAACCAGACGCUGAAGAUUUAUCACUUCGUCUCCUCUCCAUUAGUGACAAUUCAACAGUUGCCAUGUUCUUCUGCUCCGAGAAGACUGAAGUUGCACUUUGGGUUGCACAGUUAACGAUUUCCCCAUAUUGGCUCAUGCAUUUGUCAUGCUUUUUGGACUAACUUGCGCAUUGGAUCUAAGUUCCCGAAAAGAGUUGGACAAUACAUUUGACUUUACCCGGAAAGUCUUGAUGGGUCUGGAGGAUGGGAAGCUGAGACCCAGAGCGUUGAGUCUUAAAAAUGGACUUUUGUCAGUAGAGUUUCCUCAGUGUUUUAACAAAGGUACUCCUUUAUUUGACAUUUCAUUUAAACUUUCACUUCUGUCACUUUUAGUGAAUUGUGUAUUUUUUUUUUUUUUUUUUUUACAAUAUCUGUCUAGUAUUUAAUUUGCAGAACAUUUUUUCAGUUGAUUUUCUGGAAUGGUAUACAUUCCAUAUACAGUACCAUGUUCAUCCACUCAUAGAAAUGACAGUUUAAAAAAAAAAAUACAUUGCUCUAUUUUGAAGUCUUUCUCGUAUAUUCUAUUCUUGUAUAACUUUUAUAUUUCUAAAGUUACUGUUAGAUGUGAAUUUUGGAAGUGUUCCUAUUUUAGGGAAGUGUUUACAGCUGAGUGAUAUCCAGAUAUCCAUAUUGUCCACUUCUAAAAGUGAGAGUUACUAUCAGCUCAUUUUUCAAGGACCUCGCACUGUUUUGGAGAAUGUAUUUCCAUUUGAUGUUGAACAAUUUAAUGUUGAUGUUUUGUUAAUGA